Molecule: long non-coding RNA, 1402 nt
Filed under: Marmota monax (woodchuck)
Lineage: Eukaryota; Metazoa; Chordata; Mammalia; Rodentia; Sciuridae
Source: RNAcentral
GGACAUGUGGGGACCCUCUGAACCUCUCACGGCCUCACCUUUGCUUGCUGUUGGUUUGCAUGGCGGUUUCUUCUCACUCAGUGGCCCGAGGGUUGGUUUGUAUCACUAACCGCUCCUUCUCGGUAAACGCCUCCUGUGGAAGCAUAAGUAACGCCAGUUUCCUGGAUGUGGAGACCCCCUGCUGACUGAGGAUGUGUCUGAGACACUAGUGAGACCCUGUGUGUUGCUCAUCUCCUCCAACGAUCUGCAUCUGCACCUAGGGUCCACCCGACGAGCCCUUAGGGUCCACAUGCGAUGGUUUUGCUUUCCUGUCUGUGAUGUUCCCUGAUCUGAGUGCAUGGUUCUUUGUAAAUAAAGAUCUGAGCCAUGUCACUGCAGCUCUCUCCCACCCGUGCCCCCCAGACCACUCGUGGUGGCUGUAAUAGUCUGGCCCAGGGCAGGGAGCUGGUGUGGACAUUAAAGUUACAGCAAACCCUUGCAAAGGCCUGCAGAGGCAGCUGGUGACAAUCUGCUGGAGAGAAGGACAUCUCGUAUGCCACAAAUGAAGACAGGGCUCCCGGGUGGAGAAGAGAGACGCUGCCUCAUGGCCCAUCCUCCGGCUCCUGCUCACAUGCCCCUCACCCAGCCAGGGCAGAAGCACUCUGCCAGACAGGCAGCUGAGCAGAUGCAAAUGGCUGCUGGCCCCCAGACCCACAUCCUUACCCCAGACAGCUGCAGAAGGCCCUGGUGUCAGGCUCUUGUUUUUAACGAGCCUCUCUUUGUGCUUGACCCAGUCAGGACAGAGUGAGAGAACCUGUUGAGGAGCAGUGUGUUCCAUCUUACAAGCAGUGGCCCAGCUUGGAAUAGAGCAGAAGGUCCUGCAGGUGUGGAGCUGAGGCCUUCACGUUAGCCAGACGCAGCACUGAGAAAUUUGUCUGAGGGAGAAAAGACUUUAAAAGUGAAGCCCCAAAGAGGGCUGAUAGUUGAUCUUGCUUGAUGCUAUGCACGCACACACACACAUGCAUGCACACGUACUCACAUGCACACAUACAUAUACACACCUGCACACACACAUGUACACAUGUGUGCAUAUAUACACGGAUGUGCAUACACCUACAUAUACGUACACACCUACUUGUGUGCCCAUAUGCAUUCAUGUGUGUGUGCAAACCUGUGCACGUGCUUCUGUACACACAUGCAUGCACACAUUCUCACAGGUACAUACAUACACACAUGCAUGUGUGUACAUACAUGCAUGCACACUCUGGCUGAGUACACAUACAUGUACACGUGCACAUGGGCAUGUGCACACAUACACACAUGUGUGCACACAUACUCAGAUGCAUACACACAUGCCUACAUAGGCACGUGUACACAGUCUUUUUUUUUGCCGGGGGUGCAGCCCAGGGCCCUGUACAUUCCA